GUUGUUGCAAUCAAAAUCCUGCUCAGUAUGAGAGGAACUGCAGGUUCAGACCUUUGGUGUAUGUGCUUGGCUGAGGAGCCAGUGGGGCAAAGCUACCAUCUGUGGGAUUAUGACUGGAUUAUGACUAAAUCAGAAUCCCCUCUAAACAUAAAUAAU
Molecule: ribosomal RNA, 156 nt
Filed under: Podarcis lilfordi (Lilford's wall lizard)
Lineage: Eukaryota; Metazoa; Chordata; Lepidosauria; Squamata; Lacertidae
Description: Eukaryotic large subunit ribosomal RNA
Rfam family: Eukaryotic large subunit ribosomal RNA
Source: Rfam by way of RNAcentral